GUGCCAGCAGCCGCGGUAACACGUAGGGAGCAAGCGUUGUCCGGAUUUAUUGGGCGUAAAGAGCUCGUAGGCGGUUCGAUAAGUCAGGUGUGAAAACUCUGGGCUCAACUCAGAGACGCCACUUGAUACUGUCGUGACUGGAGUCUGGUAGGGGAGUGUGGAAUUCCCGGUGUAGCGGUGAAAUGCGCAGAUAUCGGGAGGAACACCAGUGGCGAAGGCGGCACUCUGGGCCAGUACUGACGCUGAGGAGCGAAAGCGUGGGGAGCGAACAGGAUUAGAUACCCUGGUAGUCC
This 293-nucleotide ribosomal RNA is filed under the name uncultured bacterium. RNAcentral's name for it is "partial 16S ribosomal RNA". It matches the Rfam family "Bacterial small subunit ribosomal RNA", at positions 505 to 796 of the family's 1533-position model. The record is from RNAcentral.